UGGAAUGUCCAGUGGGUCCAGGGUCCUGGGCACUUAGUGACAAUUACGUGUUUCCAACAGAAAGCCCGAUUUGGCCUAAGUGGGACUGAGGAUAUCCAUUCCCGGUUCAGGGCAGCCUGCCAACAGCAGGCAGUGACUGUAAGACUGCAAGAGGACAGAGCAUUGAUGACCCUUUCAGGGGAUACCUCUGCCCUGGCCUUUGACCUCUCCAAGGUGCCCAGCCCAGAGGCAGCCCCCAGGCUGCAGGCUUUGACUCUCAGCCUGGCAGAGCAUGUAUGCAACCUGGAGAGGCGGCUGGCAGGUACUGUAUGUGUGGGCACCUGUACCUUCCUUCGGGGACAUGCUUUCACAGACCCUCCUGGCAUUGAGUGAUAUGCCAUGGCUUUCUCCCAGCCACAGAAGAGACCGCCAUUAGCCCCAGGAAGAGCACCCAGCCAGCAGGCACUCAGUUCUUACCAGAACUUGAUCACCAGAGAGGCAGCUCUGGGUCUGGGGUCAGGAGACGGUGUCCAGGGGAGUCUCUCGUCAACCCUGGUUUCAAAAGUAAGAAACCAGCUGGUGGUGUAGACUUCGAUGAGACCUGAAGCUAGCAAAGCCUGUGUGACCUUGCCAGGAGUCUGUCUGCAAGGAAAGGGGA
RNAcentral lists this long non-coding RNA (637 nucleotides) under Rattus norvegicus (Norway rat). RNAcentral describes it as "long non-coding RNA NONRATT019042". The record is from RNAcentral. Lineage: Eukaryota; Metazoa; Chordata; Mammalia; Rodentia; Muridae.